RNAcentral lists this small nuclear RNA (140 nucleotides) under Microcebus murinus (gray mouse lemur). Its description in RNAcentral is "U4 spliceosomal RNA (ENSMICG00000047796.1)". It matches the Rfam family "U4 spliceosomal RNA". From Rfam's summary of the family: U4 small nuclear RNA (U4 snRNA) is a component of the major U2-dependent spliceosome. The structure of U4 snRNA from yeast and human has been reported. U4 snRNA presents a k-turn RNA motif in the 5p-SL related to recognition of Snu13 protein. Lineage: Eukaryota; Metazoa; Chordata; Mammalia; Primates; Cheirogaleidae. The record is from Rfam by way of RNAcentral.
GCUUUUGCACAGUGGCAGUAUCGUAGCCAAUAGGUUUAUCCAAGGCGCGAUUAUUGCUAAUUGAAAACUUUUCCCAAUACCUCGCCAUGAUGACUUGCAAUAUAGUCAGCAUUAGCAACUUUUGAUGGUCCCUACGGAGA